CCUACGGGAGGCAGCAGUGGGGAAUAUUGCACAAUGGGGGAAACCCUGAUGCAGCGACGCCGCGUGAGUGAAGAAGUAUUUCGGUACGUAAAGCUCUAUCAGCAGGGAAGAAGAAAUGACGGUACCUGAGUAAGAAGCCCUGGCUAACUACGUGCCAGCAGCCGCGGUAAUACGGAGGGGGCAAGUGUUAUCCGGAAUUACUGGGUGUAAAGGGAGCGUAGACGGUGAUGUAAGUCUGGAGUGAAAGGCGGGGGCCCAACCCCCGGACUGCUCUGGAAACUGUGUGACUGGAGUGCAGGAGAGGUGAGCGGAAUUCCUGGUGUAGCGGUGAAAUGCGUAGAUAUUAGGAGGAACACCAGUGGCGAAGGCAGCUCACUGGACUGUAACUGACGUUGAGGCUCGAAAGCGUGGGGAGCAAACAGGAUUAGAUACCCUAGUAGUC
RNAcentral lists this ribosomal RNA (442 nucleotides) under uncultured bacterium. RNAcentral's name for it is "partial 16S ribosomal RNA". It matches the Rfam family "Bacterial small subunit ribosomal RNA", at positions 338 to 795 of the family's 1533-position model. The record is from RNAcentral.